RNAcentral lists this transfer RNA (66 nucleotides) under Wormaldia unispina. Its description in RNAcentral is "tRNA-Tyr". Lineage: Eukaryota; Metazoa; Arthropoda; Insecta; Trichoptera; Philopotamidae. The record is from RNAcentral.
AGUAAAAUGACUGAGAUUUAAGUGAUAAAUUGUAAAUUUAUUUAGGAAUUAAUUAUUCUUUUACUA